CCUGUUGGUCUUAGAAAUCGGGCCACAAAACCGGCUUGUGAGGUGAGAAUUGCCCCCACUAAUAAACACGUGUUCAGGUCAUCAUUUGUCCGAUGUUAGACUCUUUAACACACACCCUCACGACCAACACUAUUGGCCUUGGUUCGUGGACAUAAAUGGUGGGUGGCCCAAUAGCGGAAAAAGAUAAUAGAAACCACUUCGAGGAGUCUCCAACAUCACCCAAUACAUUGUUAUUAUUAGCCUGUUGGUCUUAGAAAUCGGGCCACAAAACCGGCUUGUGUGGUGAGGAUUGCCCCCACUAAUAAACACGUGUUCAGGCCAUCAUUUGUCUGAUGUUAGACUCUUUAACACACACCCUCACGACCAACACUAUUGGGCUUGGCUCGUGGACAUAAAUGGUGGGUGACCCAAUAGCAGAAAAAGAUAAUAGAAACCACUUCGAGGAGUCUCCAACAUCACCCAAUACAUUGUUAUUCAGCUCAUUAGCACCAAAUACAUUGUUAUUCAACUCAUUAUCCUGUUGGUCUUAGAAAUCGGGCCACAAAACCGGCUUGUGAGGUGAGGAUUGCCCCCACUAAUAAACACGUGUUCAGGCCAUCAUUUAUCCGAUGUUCGACUCUUUAACACCCCCCUCACGACCAGCAAUAUUGGGCUUGGUUCGUGUACAUAAAUGGUGGGUGGCCCAAUAGCGGAAACUUGAUAGCGGGUGGCCCAAUGGAUCUUGGAGAGGCUAUGAUACCAUCUUAAAAAUCGUGGUUAGGCCUAACACAAUUCCACAAAACCAGCUUGUGAGGUGAGGAUUGCCCCCAUUAAUAAACACAUGUUCAGGCCAUCAUUUGUCCGAUGUGGGACUCUUUAACAGUUGGAAAUAGUCAGGUUAUGUUUAGAUAGGGGAUUAGGCAGUAGUGUACACAAAUAAGAGGAAGGGUUAGGACAGGGAUUUGUUAUCAUAUGAAAAGAAAUAGGGAUCUUGGCGCUAGGGAGGUUGCAGACCUCAAAGAUCUGCACUAUUGUAAUUAAGAUUUUUCUUGAUAAGGAUCAUAAUUUACCAAGUUCCUAACAUCGUCCUAAGAAAGUGCUACGGAUCCACGCGAACUAUUGAACAAUAAAUCAACAUAUUCUAAAACGCUGAAAAACAGCAAGUGAAAUACACCAAACCCAACAAAACACAGUUGAAGGUGCUGGAAAACACCAACUGCAUCUCUCUGAACUUAAUUCAACUCACAUAGUGCAGGAAAGGCACUAGCCUCAGAAAACAGCCUACACAAAACUUACACAAUGGCUGGCCAAAGUCACAAGAAACAGGGACAACUCCAGCUCUAC
RNAcentral lists this long non-coding RNA (1323 nucleotides) under Medicago truncatula (barrel medic). Its description in RNAcentral is "long non-coding RNA (MTRU_LNC006584)". The record is from RNAcentral. Lineage: Eukaryota; Viridiplantae; Streptophyta; Magnoliopsida; Fabales; Fabaceae.